CCGCGGUAACACGUACUGUGCGAACGUUAUUCGGAAUCACUGGGCUUAAAGGGUGCGUAGGCGGCCAGACAAGUAGGGUGUGAAAGCUCUCGGCUCAACCGAGGAAUUGCGCUCUAAACUGUUUGGCUUGAGUAAGAUAGGGGUGUGCGGAACUUCCGGUGGAGCGGUGAAAUGUGUUGAUAUCGGAAGGAACACCGGUAGCGAAAGCGGCACACUGGGUCUUAACUGACGCUGAGGCACGAAAGCCAGGGUAGCGAACGGG
Molecule: ribosomal RNA, 262 nt
Filed under: uncultured bacterium
Lineage: Bacteria
Description: partial 16S ribosomal RNA
Rfam family: Bacterial small subunit ribosomal RNA
Source: RNAcentral